This 845-nucleotide ribosomal RNA is filed under the name uncultured Staphylococcus sp. RNAcentral describes it as "bacterial SSU rRNA". It matches the Rfam family "Bacterial small subunit ribosomal RNA", at positions 67 to 896 of the family's 1533-position model. Lineage: Bacteria; Bacillati; Bacillota; Bacilli; Caryophanales; Staphylococcaceae. The record is from RNAcentral.
CGGACGAGAAGCUUGCUUCUCUGAUGUUAGCGGCGGACGGGUGAGUAACACGUGGAUAACCUACCUAUAAGACUGGGAUAACUUCGGGAAACCCGGAGCUAAUACCGGAUAAUAUUUUGAACCGCAUGGUUCAAAAGUAAAAGACGGUCUUGCUGUCACUUAUAGAUGGAUCCGCGCUGCAUUAGCUAGUUGGUAAGGUAACGGCUUACCAAGGCAACGAUGCAUAGCCGACCUGAGAGGGUGAUCGGCCACACUGGAACUGAGACACGGUCCAGACUCCUACGGGAGGCAGCAGUAGGGAAUCUUCCGCAAUGGGCGAAAGCCUGACGGAGCAACGCCGCGUGAGUGAUGAAGGUCUUCGGAUCGUAAAACUCUGUUAUUAGGGAAGAACAUAUGUGUAAGUAACUGUGCACAUCUUGACGGUACCUAAUCAGAAAGCCACGGCUAACUACGUGCCAGCAGCCGCGGUAAUACGUAGGUGGCAAGCGUUAUCCGGAAUUAUUGGGCGUAAAGCGCGCGUAGGCGGUUUUUUAAGUCUGAUGUGAAAGCCCACGGCUCAACCGUGGAGGGUCAUUGGAAACUGGAAAACUUGAGUGCAGAAGAGGAAAGUGGAAUUCCAUGUGUAGCGGUGAAAUGCGCAGAGAUAUGGAGGAACACCAGUGGCGAAGGCGACUUUCUGGUCUGUAACUGACGCUGAUGUGCGAAAGCGUUGGGGAUCAAACAGGAUUAGAUACCCUGGUAGUCCACGCCGUAAACGAUGAGUGCUAAGUGUUAGGGGUUUCCGCCCCUUAGUGCUGCAGCUAACGCAUUAAGCACUCCGCCUGGGGAGUACGACCGCAAGGUUG